AACUGAUUUUUUUUUUGCUAUGUUAACAAAAGAUGCUGCCCUUCUUCCCACAAGAUCACUUUGCACACCUUGUUGCAACAUCAUUGUACAGCAACUCUCAUCAAAAAGUGGAGACCAAUUCCUAAAUCAUUUAAUCUGGUUGUGCCUGUUGGCUCACACACAGAAAAUGAUGGAAGCCUGGCCCAACUACAGGAAGAUAAUGGCCCAGUCGUAG
This 214-nucleotide long non-coding RNA is filed under the name Fukomys damarensis (Damara mole-rat). Its description in RNAcentral is "lncRNA (ENSFDAG00000033535.1)". The record is from RNAcentral. Lineage: Eukaryota; Metazoa; Chordata; Mammalia; Rodentia; Bathyergidae.